Long non-coding RNA from Ctenopharyngodon idella (grass carp), 537 nucleotides. RefSeq lists it as uncharacterized. The transcript is spliced from 2 exons. The record is from RefSeq and is a predicted model, not a curated record. NCBI's taxonomy places the organism in Eukaryota, Metazoa, Chordata, Actinopteri, Cypriniformes, Xenocyprididae.
CCCAAGCAUUAUCCGUCAAGACUGACUCCCUGUUCAGUCAUCUCUACAGCAUUCCCUGCAUUUUUCCUGUUUCCUUGAUUUGGAAAUGCACACCCUCCUUCCUCGGAAUGUCCUGAACAACUGCUCCAGUGUUUCUGAACUUACUCAUCUUUGCGUUCACCAGCUGGACGCCAAAGAGUCAAUACAGACGUGAGUAACAGGAGGAAGUGACUUGCCUUCCUUUAAUGCAACAAACCCAGUGACCUAAUUUUUCCUUCUUCUUCCUGUUUAUUCCUCCAUGAUGUCCAGGAUGCACCAGACGUGCUGUGCCAGUAUUUUAUGGUGACUGCCAGAAUGCAAAUAAUUAACAAGCAAAUACACUCUCAGAAGUGAGAUAAAGAGAUCUUAAAGUCACCAUGAAAUCAAAAUGGACAACUGUUUUUUUUUCUUUUAAACAGUAUUUAUUAUAAAUGAUUUAUCUGUACACAUGAGUAUUUUUUUUUUUUUUAAAUUCAUGUGCCUUCAUAAUCUUUAAUCAAAAUAACUUCCCCUCCCUUU